GAAAAAGAAAACCAGAUCCGAACAUAAAUAUGGUAGUUAACCCCAUGACUUUGCUCAUAGAGGUCGUAGCAUUUACACAUAUCAUUGCACCCAUACCGGCAACACAGCUGAUAUAUCCAACAUAUAUCAACGGCAAGUAACGUCCUAGCUUCCGAAGAACCAUGCCAACUGUCGUACAAAAAAAGCACAGCACAGCUGCACAAGGGAUAGUAUGUACACCAGACAUAAUGGGAUUGUCACCGCGAAUCCGUUGAAAGUAUUGAGGAACGUAAUAUGCAAAAAGCAUGUAAUUUAAAUAG
Molecule: non-coding RNA, 299 nt
Organism: Schizosaccharomyces pombe (fission yeast)
Lineage: Eukaryota; Fungi; Ascomycota; Schizosaccharomycetes; Schizosaccharomycetales; Schizosaccharomycetaceae
Source: the annotation of a GenBank genome assembly